UUAAAAGAAAAUAUAGACAAAUAUGGAUAAAAGAUAGGAAGGUAGUAAAACUUUUAAUAGUAAUGCUAUCCUUUUAGAAAAAAUAGCUUCUACUUACUUAUAGAACCAAAAAUAAGGCAAAAUAAGAUUGAUUGGAAAAAUAAAUGAUAUAGACAUCUUUAAGAAGAAGUUAAGAUUAAAUUCUAAUAAAAAUUAUUUAAAAAAAAACUAGAUGUUGAUACCUAGAGAGGGCCGGUUAUGAACCAGGGUCAAAAUCAGACCCAGAGGUAGAAAACUGAGUCUCGACGACGACUCCCGAACUCUUUGGCAGAUCCAAGAGUAGGAUUUGAUAGCGGAUUGGAUAGGAUUUCUAUAGGCAUUAAUUUUGGGUGAUUUGGAGUUGUUAUGACUUUGUAAGAGCUUUGCAAAGUCAAGGUUUGUUUCAGAUGACUUAGGUUUUAUGAAAUAAAAUAGGGUUUACAUUUUAAAUGAUUUCAAGAGUUUUGUAAUAGAUAUAUAGAUGAAAUUUUGUGGAUUUAUGGUUAUAGUUUUGUUUAAUAUGUAUUACAAAUUUGAGCUUGAUCUAAUGGAUAAUUUGAGGAAUAUUGAGGUUUAAGUGGGUCAAGGUCUUAGAAAGUAAAAUUUUAGGUCUAGUGGGGGUUUUUAAGAUUUCUUGCAAUCUACUAAUUGGAUUAGAGUGAAACUUAUGUAAGAAGAUAUAAGACUUGAUUUUCUAUGUGUAUUAGAAUUUUGAAAUCAAUUGAAUAAUGCAAAGGAGAGAUAUUGACUCUGGAAGAUUGGCAUGAAGAUUAGAGAAGGAUGUGAACCAA
Molecule: long non-coding RNA, 809 nt
Filed under: Physcomitrium patens
Lineage: Eukaryota; Viridiplantae; Streptophyta; Bryopsida; Funariales; Funariaceae
Description: long non-coding RNA (PPAT_LNC001862)
Source: RNAcentral